GACGAACGCUGGCGGCGUGCUUAACACAUGCAAGUCGAACGGAAAGGCCUGCUUUCCCUUGUGGAUUGCGGGUACUCGCGUGGCGAACGGGUGAGUAACACGUGAGUGAUCUGCCCCCAACUUGGGUAUAAGCCUGGGAAACUGGGUCUAAUUCCCGAUAGGACUGCAGGGUGGUGCCUGUGGUGGAAAACGAUUUUCUAGUGGUUGGGGAUGAGCUCGCGGCCUAUCAGCUUGUUGGUGGGGUAAUGGCCUACCAAGGCGGCGACGGGUAGCCGGCCUGAGAGGGUGGGCGGCCACAUUGGGACUGAGAUACGGCCCAGACUCCUACGGGAGGCAGCAGUGGGGAAUAUUGCACAAUGGGCGGAAGCCUGAUGCAGCGACGCCGCGUGGGGGAUGACGGCCUUCGGGUUGUAAACUCCUUUCGACCGCGAGGAAGCCACCUGGUUGGAAGGGUGGUGACGGUAGUGGUAGAAGAAGCACCGGCUAACUACGUG
This 494-nucleotide ribosomal RNA is filed under the name uncultured bacterium. Its description in RNAcentral is "partial 16S ribosomal RNA". It matches the Rfam family "Bacterial small subunit ribosomal RNA", at positions 28 to 507 of the family's 1533-position model. The record is from RNAcentral.